Molecule: ribosomal RNA, 443 nt
Filed under: uncultured bacterium
Lineage: Bacteria
Description: partial 16S ribosomal RNA
Rfam family: Bacterial small subunit ribosomal RNA
Source: RNAcentral
CCUACGUGUGGCAGCAGUGGGGAAUAUUGGGCGAUGGGCGCAAGCCUGACCCAGCAACGCCGCGUGAAGGAAGAAGGCUUGCGGGUUGUAAACUUCUUUUCUCAGGGACGAAGAAAGUGACGGUACCUGUCGAAUAAGCCACGGCUAACUACGUGCCAGCAGCCGCGGUACUACGUAGGUUGCAAGCGUUGUCCGGAUUUCCUGGGUGUAAAGGGCGUGUAGCCGGGUUGACAAGUCAGAUGUGAAAUCCUGCGGCUUAACCGCAGAGCUGCAUUUGAAACUGUUGAUCUUGAGUAAUGGAGAGGCAGACGGAAUUCCUAGUGUAGCGGUGAAAUGCGUAGAUAUUAGGAGGAACACCAGUGGCGAAGGCGGUCUGCUGGACAGCAACUGACGGUGAGGCGCGCAAGCGUGGGGAGCAAACAGGAUUAGAUACCCGUGUAGUC